UAUGAAUAGCGGUUUUUUUCA
This 21-nucleotide non-coding RNA is filed under the name Caenorhabditis elegans. The record is from RNAcentral. Lineage: Eukaryota; Metazoa; Nematoda; Chromadorea; Rhabditida; Rhabditidae.